GGGGCCGCCCCGCCCCCGCCCGUCACCGCGUCCUUAGCCCCGGCCUCCCUCAGAACGCGCUGGGAUGGGAACCGCGUUCAGGAGCUGCUAAGCGCGUUUGAGACUUCAGCCCCUUCUCCAGCUUUUAACCUAAAAGGGCUAAAUCAGACCGCAGCUAGUGUACACCCCUACCCUCCGCUGAUCCCGUCACCCCUGCGCCGAAAGCAAAAGACCCAUUCCAGCUCUGGACGUUGUGAGGCCUGGCCCAGGCGUCCGCUCUCUGGUUUUCCUAUUGAUCUUACCCCUGCUUUGGGGCCAUUGUGUUGCGGGAAGUCAGGGACCCCAAACGGAGGGACCCGCUGAAGCCAUGGCAGAAGAACGUGGAUUGUGAAGAUUUCAUGGACAUUUAUUAGUUUCCCAAAUUAAUACUUUUAUAAUUUCUUAUGCCUGUCUUUACUGCAAUCUCUGAAGAUUUCAUGGACACUUAUCACUUCCCCAAUCAAUACCCUUAUGAUUUCCUAUGCCUGUCUUUACUUUAAUCUGUUAAUCCUGUCAGCUCGUAAACCAAGGAGGAUGUAUGUCGCCUCAGGACCCUGUGAUAAUUGCGUUAACUGCACAAAUUGUAGAACAUGUGUGUUUGAACAAUAUGAAAUCUGGGCACCUUGAAAAAAGAACAGGAUAACAGCAAUUGUUCAGGGAAUAACAGCGAUAACCUUAAACUCUGACCACCGGUGAGACGGGCGGAAAAGAGCCAUAUUUCUCUUCUUUCAAAAGCAAAUGGGAGAAAUAUUGCUGAAUUCUUUUUCUCAGCAAGGAACAUCCCUGAGAAAGAGAAUGCACCCCUGAGGGUGGGUCUAUAAAUGGCCCCCUUGGGUGUGGCCAUCUUCUGUGGUCGAGACUGUAGGGAUGAAAUAAACCCCAGUCUCCCAUAGCACUCCCAGGCUUAUUAGGAAGAGGAAAUUCCCCCCUAAUAAAUUUGGUCAGACCGGUUGAUCUCAAAACCCUGUCUCCUGAUAAGAUGUUAUCAAUGACAAUGGUGCCCGAAACUUCAUUAGCAAUUUUAAUUUCACCCCAGUCCUGUGGUCAUGUGAUCUCGCCCUGCCUCCAUUUGCCUUGUGAUAUUCUAUUACCUCAUGAAAGACGUGAUCUGUGACCCACACCUAUUCGCACACUCCCUCCCCUUUUGAAACUCCCUAAUAAAAACUUGCUGGUUUUGCAGCUUGUGGGGCAUCGUGGAACCUACCGACAUGUGAUGUCUCCCCCAGAUGCCCGGCUUUAAAAUUUC
RNAcentral lists this long non-coding RNA (1264 nucleotides) under Homo sapiens (human). RNAcentral's name for it is "novel transcript". Lineage: Eukaryota; Metazoa; Chordata; Mammalia; Primates; Hominidae. The record is from RNAcentral.